GUGCCAGCCGCCGCGGUAACACCGGCAGCCCGAGUGAUGGCCGCUUUUAUUGGGCCUAAAGCGUCCGUAGCCGGCCGUUCAGGUCCGUCGGGAAAUCCACUGGCUCAACCAGUGGGCGUCCGGCGGAAACCGAUCGGCUUGGGACAGGGAGACCAGAGGGGUACGUCCGGGGUAGGAGUGAAAUCCUGUAAUCCUGGACGGACCACCGGUGGCGAAAGCGCCUCUGGAGAACUGAUCCGACGGUGAGGGACGAAAGCUGGGGUCUCGAACCGGAUUAGAUACCCUUGUAGUCC
Molecule: ribosomal RNA, 293 nt
Filed under: uncultured bacterium
Lineage: Bacteria
Description: partial 16S ribosomal RNA
Rfam family: Archaeal small subunit ribosomal RNA
Source: RNAcentral